GACGAACGCUGGCGGCGUGCCUAAUACAUGCAAGUCGAACGCUUUUUCUUUCACCGGAGCUUGCUCCACCGAAAGAAAAAGAGUGGCGAACGGGUGAGUAACACGUGGGUAACCUGCCCAUCAGAAGGGGAUAACACUUGGAAACAGGUGCUAAUACCGUAUAACACUAUUUUCCGCAUGGAAGAAAGUUGAAAGGCGCUUUUGCGUCACUGAUGGAUGGACCCGCGGUGCAUUAGCUAGUUGGUGAGGUAACGGCUCACCAAGGCAACGAUGCAUAGCCGACCUGAGAGGGUGAUCGGCCACACUGGGACUGAGACACGGCCCAGACUCCUACGGGAGGCAGCAGUAGGGAAUCUUCGGCAAUGGACGAAAGUCUGACCGAGCAACGCCGCGUGAGUGAAGAAGGUUUUCGGAUCGUAAAACUCUGUUGUUAGAGAAGAACAAGGAUGAGAGUAGAACGUCAUCCCUAGACGGUAUCUACCAGAAAGCC
This 490-nucleotide ribosomal RNA is filed under the name Enterococcus casseliflavus. RNAcentral's name for it is "bacterial SSU rRNA". It matches the Rfam family "Bacterial small subunit ribosomal RNA", at positions 28 to 492 of the family's 1533-position model. The record is from RNAcentral. Lineage: Bacteria; Bacillati; Bacillota; Bacilli; Lactobacillales; Enterococcaceae.